CAUCCCUCGGGGCAGCACAGGUCCCGGGCAUCCGGGCGUGACGCAGCGGGUUGUUCAGAGGAGGGAGAAACCCGCAUCGGUUAGAGCCGCCUGCUGCCCCGCGCGUCCAGUCCUGCCGUCUCUUGUCCUUGUGUCUAAGAGGAAAUCCUAGUGGAGCCCUGUCGGGGCGGGGCCCGGAGUGAGUGCGGUGUCCGAGCACCCAGUCCAGGUGUGCUUGCACGGACAACGCUUACGCGCUGGGGUCCCUAAAUGCUGUGACUUCAUUUUGGGUGCUUAUCAAGGAGAAAGUGGUGGGCCGGUCCCCAGUUCUCAGAAUUGACAUUUUGGCAGAUCAAGUUUGCAAACACGGGAACUGCAUCCCAGAGCCGGUAAUGAGACCACAGACAGCCGCUCCUCCGGUGACCUUUACAGGAGAUGGUGGCGAACAGGGCCUGAAACCAGCUGACCUGGAGUGGCCUUCCCCGUGGUGAACGGCACCAUCAUUUUCUUCCGGACACCAGCGCCACCCAAGUCCCUCCCUCUGAGCAGUGAGGAACCCAGACGCGGUGCAGACUAUGUCAAGAGCCCAUAUCUUAAAUCAUCUCAGCAUCCCAACAAACGGACUCUCUCCCCUCUGAGAUGCUCCUCCUUGUGCCAGCGAGGCCGCUGGCUCACCGACUGCUGCAGUUACAACAGAAACAGGCCGAGCACUUAGCUCGAACCCCAGCCGAAACCCAUCUUCCUGAUUCUUGCCACGCUUGCCUGAAGCAAGGACGGCAGCUUCCACCCGCCAGGCCGGAAAAGCCCUGAGCAGCGGAAGCCUAGAAGACACCCGCCCCAUGUCCCCUCCUCAACCAGGACCUCACGCUGAAUGCGUCCCAGCUGUCCCCACCCCGGGAUCACGGGCACCGUGCCUGCUCUCCUGCACGUACCCCCGACCCUUUCCCUGUAAAACCCUCGGGGUCUGUCUUGCCAGCAGAGAGGUAGGAUGUUGAGGCCUGAGCCCGCCACCUCCCGUGUAGCCGGCACCCGAAAUAAAGGGCUGCCUCUCUCCCAAA
This is a long non-coding RNA of Neogale vison (American mink), 1037 nucleotides long. RefSeq lists it as uncharacterized. The record is from RefSeq and is a predicted model, not a curated record. NCBI's taxonomy places the organism in Eukaryota, Metazoa, Chordata, Mammalia, Carnivora, Mustelidae. The transcript is spliced from 2 exons.